Molecule: ribosomal RNA, 494 nt
Filed under: uncultured bacterium
Lineage: Bacteria
Description: partial 16S ribosomal RNA
Rfam family: Bacterial small subunit ribosomal RNA
Source: RNAcentral
GUCGAGCGCUGGCGGCGUGCUUAACACAUGCAAGUCGAACGGUGAAGCGCCUUCCUUUUUGGUGGGUGUGGAUGAGUGGCGAACGGGUGAGUAACACGUGAGUAACCUGCCCCCUUCUUCUGGAUAACCGCAUGAAAGUGUGGCUAAUACGGGAUAUUCUGGGUCUGUCGCAUGAUGGGUCUGGGAAAGAUAUUGUUUCGGUGGGGGAUGGGCUCGCGGCCUAUCAGCUUGUUGGUGGGGUGAUGGCCUACCAAGGCGGUGACGGGUAGCCGGCCUGAGAGGGUGGACGGUCACACUGGGACUGAGACACGGCCCAGACUCCUACGGGAGGCAGCAGUGGGGAAUAUUGCACAAUGGGCGCAAGCCUGAUGCAGCGACGCCGCGUGAGGGAUGGAGGCCUUCGGGUUGUGAACCUCUUUCGCCAGUGAAGCAGGCCUGCCUCGUUUGUGGGUGGGUUGACGGUAGCUGGAUAAGAAGCGCCGGCUAACUACGUG